GACGGAUGCAAAGAUUCCGGAUGCCCAAUACGGCUACGAAAAAGCACUGACCUAUACCCUGGCAGCUCACGCUGGUGCGAACAGGCUUUGUGA
Molecule: non-coding RNA, 93 nt
Filed under: marine eukaryotic metagenome
Description: Pyrrolysine insertion sequence mttB
Rfam family: Pyrrolysine insertion sequence mttB
Source: RNAcentral